RNAcentral lists this ribosomal RNA (253 nucleotides) under uncultured bacterium. RNAcentral describes it as "partial 16S ribosomal RNA". It matches the Rfam family "Bacterial small subunit ribosomal RNA", at positions 524 to 776 of the family's 1533-position model. The record is from RNAcentral.
UACGUAGGGGGCAAGCGUUGUCCGGAAUUAUUGGGCGUAAAGAGCGUGUAGGCGGUCCGGUAAGUCAGCUGUGAAAGUCAAGGGCUCAACCCUUGAAUGCCGGUUGAUACUGUCGGGCUAGAGUCCGGAAGAGGCGAGUGGAAUUCCUGGUGUAGCGGUGGAAUGCGCAGAUAUCAGGAGGAACACCAAUAGCGAAGGCAGCUCGCUGGGACGGUAUUGACGCUAAGGCGCGAAAGCGUGGGGAGCAAGCAGG